This is a long non-coding RNA of Taeniopygia guttata (zebra finch), 1293 nucleotides long. RefSeq lists it as uncharacterized. The record is from RefSeq and is a predicted model, not a curated record. Lineage: Eukaryota; Metazoa; Chordata; Aves; Passeriformes; Estrildidae.
GACUGGAGCCAUGACGCAGCCAGAGCACAUUACUCACUUUUACAGUCACGACUUGGAAAUCCGUGCAGUUUCCAACCAAAAUUACACCGCCACCAUUGAAUUAUUUAAUAGGAUCCAGUUAAGGAUUAGAGCCAUUGCAUGCGGUCUUGGCCAGGAGGUGCUCUCACCCCAGCCCAGUGUACUGUGCUAUACUGAUGUUCAUGGCUGCAUCAUGCCAUUGUCUGCAGGAUCCGCAAUUGUUGCUGGGCUUUGUGUGGUCUCAGUCUGCGGCUAAGCCCCCUUCCACGGCGGUUUCGGAGGGGAUACCAUUGUCCGGGAUAACGCGAUGUUGCAUGUGAGUGCCAGACGGUGUUUCCUCGUCUCUUUUAAUGCAAUCUGAUGACAUGCCUUUGCUAGCCGGAAUGCCUGCGAACCUGCAUGCUCGUAGCCUAGCGAGAACUUCCCUGGCUCUCAGAAGCGGUGAGGGGGUGACGGGUGGUUGCAGCACCGAGGUAACCCUACAUAGCUGCUCCGUAUACACCACAACAAUCCCCUACUACUUCGCCUCUAAUUCAGUCAUUUCACCAACUCCGCUGCUGAGGGUAUGACUAAGGACGCGAAGGACGGGCAAUAAUAAAAACAGACGCUCGCACACACGCGAUCUGCAGAAAGUGUGAGCACUUAGAGGGGGAAAAUGAGGUGGGAGGAGAAGGGGUGAGUCCAAAUAAAGCAACCUAUAGCCUCUUAUUUUGCGGAGCACCAUCAUCAGGUACAGGCUCUUUCAAACUCACGGGCGGGAAGGGCAGGCGGCGCCGGGCGGAGGAGCGGCGGCGGGGAAGCCGCCGCGGGAGCGGCGCUGCGAGCGGCGCAGCGCGGCCCCCGCCCGGCGGGCACCGGGGCCGGGACCGACUCCCGCCCGUGGCGGCAGCGGCGGCGGCGGAGCGGCGGCGGGUUCAGCACCGGGGCGCGGACAGCUCCCGGCGGCCGCCCUGCGGGGAGCGGCCGGCCUGCGCCCCCGGCCCCGCCGCCGGCUCUGCCUCUCCCCCCGCGGAGGGCGAAAAUAGAGGGGGGGGCGGGCAGGGAGAGGGGCUCAACAGCGCCGACAGAGAGAGAGAGAGAGUUGCAGCUCGCUAUUGAUUCAGAGAUUUACCGACAGGGUGAUUCCCCUUUCUGCAAGAAUUCCCUCUGUCUGAGCUCCGGGCAUGCACCAAAUUCAUUAUGUAGACGAGUAUAUCCCUCUCGCUUUAGAGGAAAAGUAGAAAGGAAGGAAAAAAUAAUCCAGGCAUGCAUAAAAUAAAGACAAGACUCACAGCC